UGGACCUUUAUUUUUAUUCAAUUUCUUCAUUAGGUGAAAACAACUCUUUGUAAAUGUCCUACAGAGAUACAGUAGCUUUCUCUUCACCCUUUGCAAGGAAAAAGCGUGGAUCAUCCCAUUCUACUACUGCCAUCA
This is a non-coding RNA of Myotis davidii, 135 nucleotides long. The record is from Rfam. Lineage: Eukaryota; Metazoa; Chordata; Mammalia; Chiroptera; Vespertilionidae.